GACGAACGCUGGCGGCGUGCUUAACACAUGCAAGUCGAACGGAAAGGCCCUGCUUUUGUGGGGUGCUCGAGUGGCGAACGGGUGAGUAACACGUGAGUAACCUGCCCUUGACUUUGGGAUAACUUCAGGAAACUGGGGCUAAUACCGGAUAGGAGCUCCUGCUGCAUGGUGGGGGUUGGAAAGUUUCGGCGGUUGGGGAUGGACUCGCGGCUUAUCAGCUUGUUGGUGGGGUAGUGGCUUACCAAGGCUUUGACGGGUAGCCGGCCUGAGAGGGUGACCGGCCACAUUGGGACUGAGAUACGGCCCAGGCGCAUACGGGAGGAAGGAGUGGGGAAUAUUGCCAAAUGGGCGGAAGCCUGAUGGAGCAACGCCGCGUGCGGGAUGACGGCCUUCGGGUUGUAAACCGCUUUCGCCUGUGACGAAGCGUGAGUGACGGUAAUGGGGAAAGAAGCACCGGCUAACUACGU
RNAcentral lists this ribosomal RNA (467 nucleotides) under uncultured bacterium. RNAcentral's name for it is "partial 16S ribosomal RNA". It matches the Rfam family "Bacterial small subunit ribosomal RNA", at positions 28 to 506 of the family's 1533-position model. The record is from RNAcentral.